Marmota flaviventris (yellow-bellied marmot) is the source of this 564-nucleotide non-coding RNA. NCBI's taxonomy places the organism in Eukaryota, Metazoa, Chordata, Mammalia, Rodentia, Sciuridae. The record is from the annotation of a RefSeq genome assembly.
UCUGUUUCCUGCUCUGGUGCAGCAGCAGCUCAUAGCCCAGUGGUUCCUCCCUCACCCUUUUGGGCUCCCCUCCCAGUGCAGAGCCUGAAAUCCCAGAGGAAACAGAUCCUUUUCAUCUAGAGGAAGAACACCAACAUGGUGCUGCCCAGGCUGCUGAAGCUGGUCAUGGUGUCCAUGUGGCUGGGAUUCAGUUUUGCCCAGAAGGUGACUCAGGCCCAGCCAGCCAUGUGGGUGCAGGAGAAGGAGGCUGUGAGCCUGCUCUGCUCCUAUGACACUAGUGGUACAAGUUAUGGUCUCCUCUGGUACAAGCAGCCCAGCAGUGGGGAGAUGGUCUUCCUCAUCCUUCAGAACUCUUACAGCCAGCAAAAUGCCACAGAAGGUCGCUACUCAGUGAAUUUGCAGAAGGCAAGCAAAUCCAUCCAGCUUGUCAUCUCAGCCUCACAGCUGGGGGACUCAGCGGUGUAUUUCUGUGCACUGAGAGAUGACACAGUGAGAGGACUGUUGGAGGCAGUUGUACAAAAACCCAGGGUCUGCCUGAGACAGCCACCUGCUGUAGGGACCAAG